Molecule: long non-coding RNA, 1568 nt
Organism: Teleopsis dalmanni
Lineage: Eukaryota; Metazoa; Arthropoda; Insecta; Diptera; Diopsidae
Exons: 3
Source: RefSeq, a predicted model, not a curated record
UAUAGACAUUCACUCAUUAAUAUAAAUGAAUGGCUAAAUGAGACAGCGUGAAUGUAGUAUUAUUUGGUAUUCAGUUAUAUCCAUAUUUUAACCUGUAAUGAGAUCAAUGAAGGAGGCAUGGCAGACCAACUGAGAAGUAGUCUGCUAAAGAGUUAAAACGAUUUAAUUCUAACGAAAAUAGUACUGGUCCAUCAAAUAAAAAAAAUAAUCCGAUCGGCUGUUUAUAGUUGAAUUGAAAAACUUACGAAAUUGUCAACCUUUUUGGUUAUAUAAUAGGUGUAGUAAAAAGAAAUCCAUUAUUUUUCACGGAAUUGAAGGCUUAUUUACCAUAAUUAAAAUAAUCCGAUUUAGGUCAAAUAUGCGACGUUUUGUUCGAUAACAUGUUACCUUUUUGAAAGUAAUUUCAUUAUACCUCUCUCAUAGUAGUCAUCGUCCCUAUUGGCAAAAAAUUAAGGCAAUCGAUUUUCACAAGCCUCUCACAGCGAAUGUUUCACCAGAAUAAUCGUUCGCAAUGGACAGAAACAGAUGGUAAUCACUUGGUGCCAGGUCUGGACUAUAAAAUGGAUGCAUAAGAACUUUACAACUAAGCUCCCGGAAAUUUUGGCGAUUCAUUAUCGAUGUGCGUGGCCAGGCGUUGUCCUGAUGCAAUACAAUUCCUUGUUAAAUAACUUGGCUAAAAUAUCUAUCCUUGACUCAACAAAAAGAUGGCUUUGUAACUAUCUUAUAGGCAGAUUAUGCUUUGUUGACUUUGGAAAUAAUGGAAAUGGAAAUGUCAAAGGUCACGCAAUUGAAGCAAUUUCAAUUCAUAUAUGUCUAAACUCCCAGACUCCCUGAGGGAGACAGAGUCAUAACAUAUGCAGAUGAUUGCACAAUUCUAACUACGUGCUAGGAUCACUCUAUAUUGUGCAAAUAUAAAUAUAUAUCUCCCCUCUGCAGCAUCGUUUUUGGAUAAUAGAAAAUUUCACCUAUCACCAAAAAAAUCCUGUCACUCUCUUUACUUCCUGGACUAAAGAGCUAUCUAUAACUCUGACCAUAAAUAAAUACAAUUUUUUAAUCCUUUAUUUACUUCAAUAAAAGGGAUAUAUUCAGAACAUUUACACUGUAGCAAUUAACUUGUUAGUGUCAUUCGUUCAUAUCCGAUAUUUAUAAUGUAAAUAUAACAUUACUAUAUACACUAGCAUGUGUUUCUUAAUGUAUCUCUGGAAACUAAGAUCUUCAACCAACGAGAAAUAGUAGAAGCAAUAUUACAAACACAAAGGAACUACAAAUCAGUUGUAAAGUUAAACCCAAGCAUGGAAAAUGCAACAAAAAAAAAGGUUUAGGUGUAAUGAAAAGCAUACACAACGUAGCCAAUUCGUCCGCUUUAAACAUUGUACUUAACACAGUUGAACGUAAAGAAAAAAAAAAGCAGAAGGCCAAAAAACAAAUAUGGUAGAUUAGCGAUUGAGGGUAAAGUGGUUUACUAACCACUUUCUCAUAGAAAAUUCUACGUGUACAACAAUCCAGCCUAAUCUUCUAGUAUCGAAAAAAGUAAGAUGUCUGUAAAUAGUUUUUUGAUAAAUUUAACA